CCCUUAGAUGUUCUGGGCCGCACGCGCGCUACACUGACGCAUUCAACGAGUCUCCUUGGCCGAGAGGCCUGGGUAAUCUUGUGAACGUGCGUCGUGAUAGGGAUAGAUUAUUGCAAUUAUUAAUCUUGAACGAGGAAUUCCUAGUAAACGCAGAUCAUCAAUCUGCAUUGAUUACGUCCCUGCCCUUUGUACACACCGCCCGUCGCACCUACCGAUUGGAUGGUCCGGUGAGGCCUCGGGAUUGUGGCCGGUGCAUUCAUUUGUGUCGGUCGCGAGAACUUGUCCAAACCUUAUCAUCUAGAGGAAGGUGAAGUCGUAACA
This 321-nucleotide ribosomal RNA is filed under the name uncultured eukaryote. RNAcentral describes it as "partial 18S ribosomal RNA". It matches the Rfam family "Eukaryotic small subunit ribosomal RNA", at positions 1470 to 1796 of the family's 1831-position model. The record is from RNAcentral.